AUUGAACGCUGGCGGAAUGCUUUACACAUGCAAGUCGAACGGCAGCACGGGUGCUUGCACCUGGUGGCGAGUGGCGAACGGGUGAGUAAUACAUCGGAACGUACCCAGUUAUGGGGGAUAACUAACCGAAAGGUUAGCUAAUACCGCAUACGCCCUGAGGGGGAAAGCGGGGGACCGUAAGGCCUCGCGUAAUUGGAGCGGCCGAUGUCUGAUUAGCUAGUUGGUGGGGUAAAGGCCUACCAAGGCGACGAUCAGUAGCAGGUCUGAGAGGAUGAUCUGCCACACUGGAACUGAGACACGGUCCAGACUCCUACGGGAGGCAGCAGUGGGGAAUUUUGGACAAUGGGCGGAAGCCUGAUCCAGCCAUUCCGCGUGAGUGAAGAAGGCCUUCGGGUUGUAAAGCUCUUUCGGCAGGGAAGAAACGGUCUAGGUUAAUACCUUGGGCUGAUGACGGUACCUGAAGAAGAAGCACCGGCUAACUACGUGCCAGCAGCCGCAGUAA
This 502-nucleotide ribosomal RNA is filed under the name uncultured bacterium. Its description in RNAcentral is "partial 16S ribosomal RNA". It matches the Rfam family "Bacterial small subunit ribosomal RNA", at positions 30 to 523 of the family's 1533-position model. The record is from RNAcentral.